GUGACGGUUAUUGCGUUUGACAACACAAGUCAAGAUGCAUAUUAGAUGCUGCUGCUUCUUCAAGAUGUCGCACUUUUCCCCCUCACACAAGUGUUGCUUCAACUUCAGAAUAAGUGGCCUGCUAACUGAAAAUAUAUGAAGCCUUGAUCCAGUGGACUUUACCAAAUGCCUUGCCAAAAACCAAGUGAAGUGGUAAGUGCUGUAUUUAAUCUCUAUGUCAUGAGGAAAACAUCCAAUCCAU
This is a non-coding RNA of Danio rerio (zebrafish), 241 nucleotides long. The record is from Ensembl. NCBI's taxonomy places the organism in Eukaryota, Metazoa, Chordata, Actinopteri, Cypriniformes, Danionidae.